Molecule: ribosomal RNA, 253 nt
Filed under: uncultured bacterium
Lineage: Bacteria
Description: partial 16S ribosomal RNA
Rfam family: Bacterial small subunit ribosomal RNA
Source: RNAcentral
UACGUAGGGGGCAAGCGUUGUCCGGAAUCACUGGGCGUAAAGGGCGCGUAGGCGGCGCGGAAAGUCAACGGUGAAAGCUUGGGGCUCAACCCCGAGUCGGCCGUCGAUACUUCCGUGCUCGAGCACUGUAGAGGCAGGUGGAAUUCCGGGUGUAGCGGUGGAAUGCGUAGAUAUCUGGAGGAACACCGGUGGCGAAGGCGGCAUUCUGGACCGAUAUUGACGCUGAGGAGCGAAAGCCAGGGGAGCAAACGGG